GGAUCAACAGCAAUUGCUCUUACAACAGCAACAGCAACAGCAACAGUAUCAAAAACAACAUAAAUCACAGCCACAGGGAGCGUCCGAAGAGGUCAAGACUAUAUGGAUCGGUGACUUGCUUCAUUGGAUGGAUGAAACUUAUCUACAUAAUUGCUUCUCUCAUACAGGCGAGGUUUCCUCUGUUAAAGUGAUACGCAAUAAGCAGACUGGUCAGCCAGAAGGGUAUGGAUUUGUUGAGUUUUAUUCACAUGCAACAGCUGAGAAAGUUUUGCAGAGCUAUAAUGGCUCUGUGAUGCCAAACACAGAUCAGCCCUUCCGCCUUAAUUGGGCAAGCUUUGCAGGUGACAGGCGAUUGGACGCUGGUUCUGACCUAUCUAUAUUUGUUGGCGAUUUGGCUGCAGAUGUGACUGAUGCUAUGUUGCAGGAAACCUUUGCCAGUAAAUAUCCAUCUGUCAAGGGAGCCAAAGUUGUAACUGAUCCAAACACUGGCUGUUCAAAAGGUUAUGGUUUUGUUAGGUUUGGUGAUGAAAAUGAGAGGUCAAGGGCCAUGGUAGAGAUGAAUGGAAUUUAUUGCUCAAGUAGGCCCAUGCGCAUAGGUGUUGCAACUCCCAAAAAGUCAUCUGGAUAUCAACAGUAUUCUUCACAAGCUUUGGUGUUGGCUGGUGGACAUGCUCCAAAUGGUGCUAUGGCCCAGGGAUCCCAAUCUGAUGGAGACUCUAAUAAUACAACUGUGAGUUUGGCUCUCUCAUGCUGAAUUGUCCGUGCAGUGUACACAAUUGUAUGAGUUUCAUUCAUGUAAUUUCGCAGAUAUUUGUGGGAGGAAUUGACUCUGACAUCAGUGAUGAGGAUCUGAGGCAGCCUUUUUCCCAGUUUGGUGAGGUUGUGUCUGUGAAGAUACCUGUUGGGAAGGGAUGUGGUUUUGUGCAAUUUGCUAACAGAAAGAGUGCUGAGGAUGCGCUGCAGAGUUUGAAUGGCACAACAAUUGGAAAGCAGACAGUUCGCCUCUCUUGGGGUCGCAGUCCAGCACACAAGCAGUGGAGAGGGGAUCAUAAAUAUAAUCAGUGGAAUGGUGCAUAUUUUGGAGAGCAAGGGUAUGGUGGAUAUGGAUAUGCAAUGGCACCAAAGCAGGAUCAGAACAUGUAUGUUGCAGCUGCAGCUUCAGGCGCAUCUUAACUGCAGCACAACAAUUACCAACAGCAGCUUGUGGGACAGGCCUUCAUCGGCUGUCAUCAAAACUAUGAUUAGAUGUAGGAUUGCUUUAGCCGCUGCUUCUGCUUCUGCUUUGGCUUUCUGUACUCUGGAGGAUUUUGUAGCUUUGAUUGAACUUUUAUGUCAUGAAGUUGUGUUGAAGUUGUAUCAAUAUUUGCUGAAUUUUUUUGGGUUUGCUUGGAGAGUCCCAUUGAUGGGUGGGAGUCUUUAGUUUGUUGGUGUUAAACUUCAAGCAACAAGAAAUGAUGAAAGCUUUUUGACUAUUUGUUGAUUCUGCUUAUAAAUUAGGAAUUCUGAACUGGGUUUCUG
This 1518-nucleotide unclassified non-coding RNA is filed under the name Hevea brasiliensis (rubber tree). Lineage: Eukaryota; Viridiplantae; Streptophyta; Magnoliopsida; Malpighiales; Euphorbiaceae. The record is from RNAcentral.